GAACAGAUCGUAACUGUGGUUUUUCUACUCUCCAGAUGCAAACAACUGCUGCCAACAGAAAAUAUCCCAACCUCACCGAAAUGGUGAGGGGGCCUCAACAUAUUCUUCUUUAUAUUUGCUUCCUGAUCAUCAAAAUAUGGUUCAUUCGUCAGUUUCAAGGGCCAUAUGAAUCUACACAUGAUGAAAAGUUGGAUGGGAUCUCAAAACUAAUCUCAAAGCUGAUCAGUUAGAGAAACCAAGGCCCGGAGAAGAAGCCAGAAUCCCUCAAGGAAUCAGGAUUUGAAUUGAGCGUCUUUAUACCACUGGUGUAAUUCUCUUCUCUCUUUUAUUAACUGAUUUAUUCAUUCCAUAAACAUUUACUGAGCACCUAUUAUGUGCUAGCCACAAGACUAUCCUAAUCUCUCUCCCAAAAUGUAGUCUGUGAAAGUAUUAUACCAUCUUUUGGAGGGCCUGGGUGGCUCAGGCAGUUGAGCAUCUGACUUCAGCUCAGGUCAUGAUCUGACAGUUCGUGGGUUCAAACCCCGCCUCAGACUCUGUGCUGACUGCUUGCUCAGAGCCUGGAGCCUGCUUCAGGUUCUGUGUCUCCUUCUCUCUCUGCCCCUCCCCCUGCUCAUGCUUUGUCUCACUCUGUUUCUCAAAAAUAAAUAAAUGUAAAAACAAAUUUUUUUUUUUUUA
RNAcentral lists this long non-coding RNA (675 nucleotides) under Felis catus (domestic cat). RNAcentral's name for it is "lncRNA (ENSFCAG00000044035.2)". The stretch from base 449 to 533 matches the Rfam family "tRNA". The record is from RNAcentral. Lineage: Eukaryota; Metazoa; Chordata; Mammalia; Carnivora; Felidae.